This 269-nucleotide ribosomal RNA is filed under the name uncultured prokaryote. RNAcentral's name for it is "partial 16S ribosomal RNA". It matches the Rfam family "Bacterial small subunit ribosomal RNA", at positions 524 to 792 of the family's 1533-position model. The record is from RNAcentral.
UACGUAGGGGGCAAGCGUUAUCCGGAUUCAUUGGGCGUAAAGCGCGCGUAGGCGGCUUGUUAAGUCAGAUGUGAAAACCGGGGGCUCAACCCGCGGCCUGCAUCUGAAACUGACAGGCUUGAGUCUGGUAGAGGAAAGUGGAAUUCCUGGUGUAGCGGUGAAAUGCGCAGAUAUCAGGAGGAACACCAGUGGCGAAGGCGGCUUUCUGGGCCACGACUGACGCUGAGGCGCGAAAGCUAGGGGAGCGAACAGGAUUAGAUACCCGGGUA